This 422-nucleotide ribosomal RNA is filed under the name uncultured Clostridium sp. RNAcentral's name for it is "bacterial SSU rRNA". It matches the Rfam family "Bacterial small subunit ribosomal RNA", at positions 355 to 794 of the family's 1533-position model. Lineage: Bacteria; Bacillati; Bacillota; Clostridia; Eubacteriales; Clostridiaceae. The record is from RNAcentral.
UGGGGAAUAUUGCACAAUGGGGCGAAAGCCUGAUGCAGCAACGCCGCGUGAGCGAUGAAGGCCUUCGGGUCGUAAAGCUCUGUCCUCAAGGAAGAUAAUGACGGUACUUGAGGAGGAAGCCCCGGCUAACUACGUGCCAGCAGCCGCGGUAAUACGUAGGGGGCUAGCGUUAUCCGGAUUUACUGGGCGUAAAGGGUGCGUAGGUGGUUUCUUAAGUCAGGAGUGAAAGGCUACGUCUCAACCGUAGUAAGCUCUUGAAACUGGGAAACUUGAGUGCAGGGGAGGAAAGUGGAAUUCCUAGUGUAGCGGUGAAAUGCGUAGAUAUCAGGAGGAACACCGGUGGCGAAGGCGGCCUGCUGGACAGUAACUGACGCUGAGGCUCGAAAGCGUGGGGAGCAAACAGGAUUAGAUACCCUGGUAGU